RNAcentral lists this ribosomal RNA (865 nucleotides) under uncultured bacterium. RNAcentral describes it as "bacterial SSU rRNA". It matches the Rfam family "Bacterial small subunit ribosomal RNA", at positions 31 to 892 of the family's 1533-position model. The record is from RNAcentral.
GAACGCUAGCGGCAGGCCUAAUACAUGCAAGUCGGACGGUAACAUCGGGUGCUUGCUCCCGGAUGACGAGUGGCGCACGGGUGAGUAACGCGUAUACGAUCUGCCUUGUACAGGGGUAUAGCCCAGGGAAACUUGGAUUAACACCCCAUGGCAACAAGACCUGGCAUCAGGUCUUGUUUAAAAUUUCGGUGGUACAAGAUGAGUAUGCGUCCCAUUAGCUAGUUGGUGCGGUAACGGCGCACCAAGGCAGCGAUGGGUAGGGGCCCUGAGAGGGGGAUCCCCCACACUGGUACUGAGACACGGACCAGACUCCUACGGGAGGCAGCAGUGAGGAAUAUUGGACAAUGGGCGGGAGCCUGAUCCAGCCAUGCCGCGUGCAGGAAGACUGCCCUACGGGUUGUAAACUGCUUUUACACGGGAAGAAACCCCCCAACGAGUUGGGGGCUGACGGUACCGUGGGAAUAAGGACCGGCUAACUCCGUGCCAGCAGCCGCGGUAAUACGGAGGGUCCGAGCGUUAUCCGGAAUCAUUGGGUUUAAAGGGUCCGCAGGCGGCCCGGUCAGUCAGUGGUGAAAUCCCGUGGCUCAACCACGGGACUGCCGUUGAUACUGCCGGGCUUGAAUCAGUUCGAGGAUGCCGGAAUGUGUGGUGUAGCGGUGAAAUGCAUAGAUAUCACACAGAACACCGAUUGCGAAGGCAGGCAUCCAGGGCUGCAUUGACGCUGAUGGACGAAAGCGUGGGUAGCGAACAGGAUUAGAUACCCUGGUAGUCCACGCCGUAAACGAUGGUCACUAGCUGUCCGGACUUCGGUCUGGGUGGCCAAGCGAAAGUGAUAAGUGACCCACCUGGGGAGUACGUUCGCAAG